Molecule: long non-coding RNA, 310 nt
Filed under: Coffea arabica (coffee)
Lineage: Eukaryota; Viridiplantae; Streptophyta; Magnoliopsida; Gentianales; Rubiaceae
Description: long non-coding RNA (CARA_LNC002905)
Source: RNAcentral
AAUGGAGAGAAAAUACUUUUCUUCAUCUUAUUAGGACUACACAAUAUACAUAUAUAUAUACACAAGUGUAACCUAAUUUAGAUCCUAAAAUCAUGCUAAUCUAAAUCAAUCUAUUACCUAAUUAAUACAUGAUACUAUAAUCAUAUGAUACCUAAUUAAUACAUGAUACUAUAAUCAUAUCUUUCCUAAUAUUAGAUCACAUAUCUUCAACACUCCCCCUCAAGCUGGAGCAUAGAUGUUGCUCAUGCCCAGCUUGUUACAAAGGUAAUCUACUCGAACCCCAUGUAGAGCCUUCGUAAAGAGAUCCCCC